GAACACUGGGCUUGAGGGAGAGCGCUACGAUGUCAACGUAGGGGGCACAGGUUAAAUCCCUGUCGAGUCCACCA
This 74-nucleotide transfer RNA is filed under the name Hyphomicrobiales bacterium. RNAcentral's name for it is "Rhizobiales bacterium tRNA-Asp". The stretch from base 8 to 71 matches the Rfam family "tRNA". From Rfam's summary of the family: Transfer RNA (tRNA) molecules are approximately 80 nucleotides in length. The record is from RNAcentral. Lineage: Bacteria; Pseudomonadati; Pseudomonadota; Alphaproteobacteria; Hyphomicrobiales.